GAUGAACGCUGGCGGCGUGCCUAAUACAUGCAAGUCGAGCGAACAGAUAAGGAGCUUGCUCCUUUGACGUUAGCGGCGGACGGGUGAGUAACACGUGGGUAACCUACCUAUAAGACUGGGAUAACUUCGGGAAACCGGAGCUAAUACCGGAUAAUAUUUCGAACCGCAUGGUUCGAUAGUGAAAGAUGGUUUUGCUAUCACUUAUAGAUGGACCCGCGCCGUAUUAGCUAGUUGGUAAGGUAACGGCUUACCAAGGCGACGAUACGUAGCCGACCUGAGAGGGGGAUCGGCCACACUGGAACAGAGACCCGGUCCAGACACCUACGGGAGGCAGCAGUAGGGAAUCUGCCGCAAAGGGCGAAAGCUUGACGGAGCAACGCCGCGUGAGUGAUGAAGGUCUUCGGAUCGUAAAACUCUGUUAUGAGGGAAGAACAAAUGUGUAAGUAACUGUGCACGUCUUGACGGUACCUAAUCAGAAAGCCACGGCUAACUACGUG
Molecule: ribosomal RNA, 497 nt
Filed under: uncultured bacterium
Lineage: Bacteria
Description: partial 16S ribosomal RNA
Rfam family: Bacterial small subunit ribosomal RNA
Source: RNAcentral